This 253-nucleotide ribosomal RNA is filed under the name uncultured bacterium. RNAcentral describes it as "partial 16S ribosomal RNA". It matches the Rfam family "Bacterial small subunit ribosomal RNA", at positions 524 to 776 of the family's 1533-position model. The record is from RNAcentral.
UACAGAGGUCCCAAGCGUUGUUCGGAUUCACUGGGCGUAAAGGGUGCGCAGGUGGCGGCGCGCGUGGGGGGUGAAAUCGCCCGGCUUAACUGGGCGGGGGCCUUCCAGACGGCGUGGCUUGAGCAGCGGAGGGGGACGUGGAAUUCCGGGUGGGGCGGUGAAAUGCGUAGAGAUCCGGAGGAACACCGACGGCGCAGGCAGCGUCCUGGCCGCUUGCUGACACUGAGGCACGAAAGCUGGGGGAGCAAACAGG